Molecule: non-coding RNA, 179 nt
Filed under: Boseongicola aestuarii
Lineage: Bacteria; Pseudomonadati; Pseudomonadota; Alphaproteobacteria; Rhodobacterales; Paracoccaceae
Description: Ruegeria cis52 sRNA
Rfam family: Ruegeria cis52 sRNA
About the family: Cis-encoded. Targets oligo/dipeptide ABC transporter.
Source: Rfam by way of RNAcentral
UUCUGAGCGCGUGCUUCAUGACGAUGUUUGGAAAGCUCACGCCUUUCAGGCGCGCGGUACGGAUGUAUUGUGCUGUCAUCACUUCGGUCAUCGACGCGCGGGUCAUACGCGCGAUGUAGCCCAUGCCGUAAAGGGCAAUAGUGAGGACGGGCAGGAAGAAGUUUUCGAAUGUGAUGUCG